GCCCGUGUAGCUCAAUCCGUACAGAGCGCUGCGCUUCGAACGCAGAGGUUGCAGGUUAAAAUCCUGCCAGGGGUGCCA
Molecule: transfer RNA, 78 nt
Filed under: Verrucomicrobiaceae bacterium
Lineage: Bacteria; Pseudomonadati; Verrucomicrobiota; Verrucomicrobiia; Verrucomicrobiales; Verrucomicrobiaceae
Also listed under: 1 other name
Description: tRNA-Arg
Rfam family: tRNA
About the family: Transfer RNA (tRNA) molecules are approximately 80 nucleotides in length. Their secondary structure includes four short double-helical elements and three loops (D, anti-codon, and T loops).
Source: RNAcentral